AGCCUGAUGCGCCAUGCCGCGUGUAUGAAGAAGGCCUUCGGGUUGUAAAGUACUUUCAGUUGUGAGGAAGGGGGUAGCGUUAAUAGCGCUGUCUCUUGACGUUAGCAACAGAAGAAGCACCGGCUAACUCCGUGCCAGCAGCCGCGGUAAUACGGAGGGUGCGAGCGUUAAUCGGAAUUACUGGGCGUAAAGCGCAUGCAGGUGGUUCAUUAAGUCAGAUGUGAAAGCCCGGGGCUCAACCUCGGAACUGCAUUUGAAACUGGUGAACUAGAGUACUGUAGAGGGGGGUAGAAUUUCAGGUGUAGCGGUGAAAUGCGUAGAGAUCUGAAGGAAUACCAGUGGCGAAGGCGGCCCCCUGGACAGAUACUGACACUCAGAUGCGAAAGCGUGGGGAGCAAACAGGAUUAGAUACCCUGGUAGUCCACGCCGUAAACGAUGUCUACUUGGAGGUUGUGGCCUUGAGCCGUGGCUUUCGGAGCUAACGCGUUAAGUAGACCGCCUGGGGAGUACGGUCGCAAGAUUAAAACUCAAAUGAAUUGACGGGGGCCCGCACAAGCGGUGGAGCAUGUGGUUUAAUUCGAUGCAACGCGAAGAACCUUACCUACUCUUGACAUCCAGAGAAGCCAGCGGAGACGCAGGUGUGCCUUCGGGAGCUCUGAGACAGGUGCUGCAUGGCUGUCGUCAGCUCGUGUUGUGAAAUGUUGGGUUAAGUCCCGCAACGAGCGCAACCCUUAUCCUUGUUUGCCAGCGAGUAAUGUCGGGAACUCCAGGGAGACUGCCGGUGAUAAACCGGAGGAAGGUGGGGACGACGUCAAGUCAUCAUGGCCCUUACGAGUAGGGCUACACACGUGCUACAAUGGCGCAUACAGAGGGCAGCAAGCUAGCGAUAGUGAGCGAAUCCCAAAAAGUGCGUCGUAGUCCGGAUUGGAGUCUGCAACUCGACUCCAUGAAGUCGGAAUCGCUAGUAAUCGUAGAUCAGAAUGCUACGGUGAAUACGUUCCCGGGCCUUGUACACACCGCCCGUCACACCAUGGGAGUGGGCUGCAAAAGAAGUGGGUAGUUUAACCUUUCGGGGAGGACGCUCACACUUUGGGGUCAUGAUGG
RNAcentral lists this ribosomal RNA (1104 nucleotides) under Vibrio sp. 8017M. RNAcentral's name for it is "bacterial SSU rRNA". It matches the Rfam family "Bacterial small subunit ribosomal RNA", at positions 380 to 1477 of the family's 1533-position model. Lineage: Bacteria; Pseudomonadati; Pseudomonadota; Gammaproteobacteria; Vibrionales; Vibrionaceae. The record is from RNAcentral.